GAUGAACGCUGGCGGCGUGCUUAACACAUGCAAGUCGAACGGUGAAGGCGGAGCUUGCUCUGCUGGAUCAGUGGCGAACGGGUGAGUAACACGUGAGCAAUCUGCCCCUGACUCUGGGAUAAGCGCUGGAAACGGCGUCUAAUACUGGAUACGAGCUGCGAAGGCAUCUUCAGCAGCUGGAAAGAAUUUCGGUCAGGGAUGAGCUCGCGGCCUAUCAGCUUGUUGGUGAGGUAAUGGCUCACCAAGGCGUCGACGGGUAGCCGGCCUGAGAGGGUGACCGGCCACACUGGGACUGCGAGACGGCCCAGACUCCUACGGGAGGCAGCAGUGGGGAAUAUUGCACAAUGGGCGAAAGCCUGAUGCAGCAACGCCGCGUGAGGGACGACGGCCUUCGGGUUGUAAACCUCUUUUAGCAGGGAAGAAGCGAAAGUGACGGUACCUGCAGAAAAAGCGCCGGCUAACUACGUG
This 468-nucleotide ribosomal RNA is filed under the name uncultured bacterium. RNAcentral describes it as "partial 16S ribosomal RNA". It matches the Rfam family "Bacterial small subunit ribosomal RNA", at positions 28 to 507 of the family's 1533-position model. The record is from RNAcentral.